Molecule: ribosomal RNA, 301 nt
Filed under: uncultured bacterium
Lineage: Bacteria
Description: partial 16S ribosomal RNA
Rfam family: Bacterial small subunit ribosomal RNA
Source: RNAcentral
CAGUCGCCACGGUAAUACGAAGGGGGCUAGCGUUGCUCGGAAUGACUGGGCGUAAAGGGCGCGUAGGCGGCGAUCAAAGUCAGGCGUGAAAUUCCUGGGCUCAACCUGGGGGCUGCGCUUGAUACUUGGUUGCUUGAGUGGGGAAGAGGGUCGUGGAAUUCCCAGUGUAGAGGUGAAAUUCGUAGAUAUUGGGAAGAACACCGGUGGCGAAGGCGGCGACCUGGUCCUUGACUGACGCUGAGGCGCGAAAGCGUGGGGAGCAAACAGGAUUAGAUACCCCUGUAGUCCCUGUCUCUUAUAA